AUUUCAAGUGUAUCUGAUUUUGUCUCUGGUGCUUUCAAGAUUGUUUAUCGGCAACUUAAGCAUGAUGACUCUACACCAUCUGUAAACAAGCCACGCAAUGACUAUUUGGUGGCUCAGGUUAAUACUCUAAGGCAGGAACUACAAAUCUUGGCUUCAAACAGACCAAUUACAAUUGUUACUGGACGUGGAACAUGUUAUGAUUGUUUCCAUUC
Long non-coding RNA from Hibiscus syriacus, 212 nucleotides. RefSeq lists it as uncharacterized. The transcript is spliced from 3 exons. Lineage: Eukaryota; Viridiplantae; Streptophyta; Magnoliopsida; Malvales; Malvaceae. The record is from RefSeq and is a predicted model, not a curated record.